Long non-coding RNA from Apis mellifera (honey bee), 1011 nucleotides. RefSeq lists it as uncharacterized. Lineage: Eukaryota; Metazoa; Arthropoda; Insecta; Hymenoptera; Apidae. The record is from RefSeq and is a predicted model, not a curated record. The transcript has 2 exons.
UUGUGGACUAUGCGGCGCUUCAUGUUCCAUAAUGAGCGAUUAUAGUAAGUUAGCCUUUGAAAUUAGCUCGUUGCUCGACAUUGACACCAUUUAUUUAAGCGAUGUUAUUUUUUUAUUUUUUUUUUUAUUUUUUUUCUUCCUUACAAGCGAAUAGUUAGAAACAGAGAAAGAGAGAGAGAGAAAUUAGACAGUUUGGUUGCAGGGCGACACAAAUGUGUUGUUAGAAGGAUAAUUACCUACCCUUUUCUUUUCAAAUUAUGUCGUGUCUUUUCUUUUUUUACAAUUUCUUUUUUUUUUUUUUUCAUUUUUCAGACAAAAGAAAUUGGAAAGUUUGUAUAAUUUAUAGAUAGAUAUUUCUUAUUACGAAAUAAUUUGUAGAAAAAUAAAUGAAACUAAAUCAAAGCAAGAUGGUAAAGCGAAUGAAAAUUAUAAAAAAAGUUUUGCAAUUUUUCGUUAGACUCCGGAUUUAUAGUACAUGAUAUUCAUCUAUAUGCGUGCAAGAAAAUUGCAAUAUACACAAAUACACACACACAAUAUGCAAAUACAGAUUCGUAUUCUUCCGUUAAUUUUUAUAUAAAAGAUGUUAGGUUUGUUGCAAAAAUAUAUCCGUUUGGCGUCAACGUCGAGGCCGGAAGUGUACACAUACAAGAAAUAAGAACACCAUAUAUAGAUAUACGAUUAUACACCAUGAAUGCAGACAUAAAUAGUGUUUUUCUCAAUCAAGCGACAACUUCGAUCGGUGAUCCAUCAAUAUCCGCGGAUAAUCUAGUAACAAGCAUCGAGAUGAUAGAAAAAAAAAUAUACAUAUACAUAUACAUAUAUAUAUAUAUAUAUGACGCGCUGGUAAAGAGGAAGAAUGAAGAUGAAGUGGGAGGAGAGAAAUAGAAAGAGAGAAGACAGAGAAAAGAUCGGAAAGACAACAAAGAAAGAAAAAGAGGCAACGGUUACGAGUCAUGUCCCUGAAGAAGACUGAAGUAUACUUAUGUUGAUCAAAAGAAUAAAAAAUAAAAA